Molecule: ribosomal RNA, 440 nt
Filed under: uncultured bacterium
Lineage: Bacteria
Description: partial 16S ribosomal RNA
Rfam family: Bacterial small subunit ribosomal RNA
Source: RNAcentral
CCUACGGGAGGCAGCAGUGGGGAAUAUUGCACAAUGGGGGAAACCCUGAUGCAGCGACGCCGCGUGAGUGAGGAAGUAUUUCGGUAUGUAAAGCUCUAUCAGCAGGGAAGAAAAUGACGGUACCUGACUAAGAAGCCCCGGCUAACUACGUGCCAGCAGCCGCGGUAAUACGUGGGGGGCAAGCGUUAUCCGGAUUUACUGGGUGUAAAGGGAGCGUAGACGGCUAAUCAAGUCAGAAGUGAAAACCAUGGGCUCAACCUGUGGCCUGCAUUUGAAACUGUUUUUCUUGAGUACUGGAGAGGCAGACGGAAUUCCUAGUGUAGCGGUGAAAUGCGUAGAUAUUAGGAGGAACACCAGUGGCGAAGGCGGCUUACUGGACUGUAACUGACGUUGAGGCUCGAAAGCGUGGGGAGCAAACAGGAUUAGAUACCCCAGUAGUC